Molecule: long non-coding RNA, 1259 nt
Filed under: Salvator merianae (Argentine black and white tegu)
Lineage: Eukaryota; Metazoa; Chordata; Lepidosauria; Squamata; Teiidae
Description: lncRNA (ENSSMRG00000002332.1)
Source: RNAcentral
GUUGCAAAUAGACUCGCAUUCUUGCCGUGGAUGAGUCUUCACUUUUCUAGCCCUCUUCAGUUUGCGCUCCCCUUCCGAGCCCCCUGCAGGUCAAGAAUUACAUUAUAGCACAAGAGCCGAGUCUGCUUGCAGACUCCAUUCCAUUUGUCUUGCCGUGAUCCAGUUCACGGUUUGCAGAUCUCAGCCUAGAACUGGUAAAAUAAUAGAUUUCCUUGAUUCAGACUCAGUCCACUUUCUUGUCCUUUAAUAUGCAGUAAAGUUUUUGAACUCACUUUGAAAUUAUAGUCAAAUGUUAGUGUCCGGGUCUGGCAGCUUGCUGCGUUCUUAACUUGCAGCAUUUUCUCCACCCAUCUUGCCAACUUUAGGGAACAACACACUCUCCUUUAAAAAUCCAUGCCAUUCUUUGAGCGUUGCAGCUUGUUUUCAGCAAAUGGGUAGGUGCCUUGCGCCUUAUGCUUCAGCUCCACUUCUAUUUCCACUGUAACAGUUUCCUCCUACCAUGUUUCUCCCUACCAUUGUGUUUGCGCUGGGAGAUGCAGAAGGUGGAUAGAUCUGAGUGAAACUUGGCAACAAUGCCAGCAAAAGUAUUACAGCUCUUUUUUUUUUGCACAAUCAGGAGCUCCAAAACACCCGACAGGAUUUGAAAUAUGCAGCUACCGCCCCCUUAAAAUGGAAUCCUCUACUGUCACAAAAAUAGAAAGAAGCUUUCACCAAUUUGGUGGCUGGUGCACUAGCUGCAAACAUCUACAGGGCACCAGGUUGGUGGAGGAGGAUGCAAAAGAACUGGCACAAAACAGAAAGGCAACCCCAAAAAAUCAGCCAUAGCUCUCUGAGUGGAGUAAAAGCUUGGCGCAUCCAAGGUGCUGGAUUCAGUCUCUGCCCAUUAGACCUAACUAUUUGACAUGCUGACGGAGGCUGACGAGAGUUGGAAUCCAAAAUAUCUGGCAGGCCUCAGUUUGGCUACUCUUGUGUGAGGAGCCCUUGCUGAGAUAAGGCAAUCAUAUUGCUGACAUACAAAGACGCGGCAGGAGAAGGAAAAAACAGAUUACUAAGUGCGUAUUUAUAAGAUGGAUCACAUGUUCGAAAGAAAUUGAAGAUUCCCAGUGUAGACAUUUGUCUAUCUCAGUAUGAGGAGACUUCCUAGCAACAUACUCAGGCUGAGAAAUCUUUAAUUCAGGGUUCCAAGGCCUACACAGAGUACCUGCAAUGCAAUGUUUCUUUUUCCUCCAAAGAGAAGCUGUAUGAUGGAAAGGUUGGAA